AACGAACGCUGGCGGCAUGCCUAACACAUGCAAGUCGAACGAUUGCCUUCGGGUGAUAGUGGCGCACGGGUGCGUAACGCGUGGGAAUCUGCCCUUAGGUUCGGAAUAACAGCUGGAAACGGCUGCUAAUACCGGAUGAUAUCGCGAGAUCAAAGAUUUAUCGCCUGAGGAUGAGCCCGCGUUGGAUUAGGUAGUUGGUGGGGUAAAGGCCUACCAAGCCGACGAUCCAUAGCUGGUCUGAGAGGAUGAUCAGCCACACUGGGACUGAGACACGGUCCAGACUCCUACGGGAGGCAGCAGUGGGGAAUAUUGGACAAUGGGCGCAAGCCUGAUCCAGCAAUGCCGCGUGAGUGAUGAAGGCCCUAGGGUUGUAAAGCUCUUUUAACCGGGAAGAUAAUGACUGUACCGGGAGAAUAAGCCCCGGCUAACUCCGUG
RNAcentral lists this ribosomal RNA (435 nucleotides) under uncultured bacterium. RNAcentral's name for it is "partial 16S ribosomal RNA". It matches the Rfam family "Bacterial small subunit ribosomal RNA", at positions 29 to 507 of the family's 1533-position model. The record is from RNAcentral.